This 261-nucleotide unclassified non-coding RNA is filed under the name uncultured fungus. RNAcentral describes it as "sequence contains ITS1, 5.8S rRNA gene". The stretch from base 213 to 261 matches the Rfam family "5.8S ribosomal RNA", at positions 1 to 49 of the family's 154-position model. Lineage: Eukaryota; Fungi. The record is from RNAcentral.
UUUCCGUAGGUGAACCUGCGGAAGGAUCAUUACCGAGUACCGGGUCUUUUCAGGCCCUUACUCCCACCCUUUGUGUAUCUUACCUUUAUUUCUUGUUGCCUUGGUGGGUCCAGGGGGAGACCCCGGGGGCCUCGCGGCCCCGCCCGCCAGGGGGACAGCCCUUAAACUCUUUGUUAACCGGGUCGUCUGAGAAAACAAAACAAAUGAAUUAAAACUUUCAACAACGGAUCUCUUGGUUCUGGCAUCGAUGAAGAACGCAGC